Brienomyrus brachyistius is the source of this 295-nucleotide long non-coding RNA. RefSeq lists it as uncharacterized. Lineage: Eukaryota; Metazoa; Chordata; Actinopteri; Osteoglossiformes; Mormyridae. The record is from RefSeq and is a predicted model, not a curated record. The transcript is spliced from 3 exons.
AACACCCAUAAAUCCGUGCUGCUCUUGUGGUUAACGUUACCUGCGAAAUGGAGAAUAAAUGGAUAGAGAUUUAUGAUUUUCUUUCUGUGGGAUCAUACCCAUCUGGAUUCGAGAAAGUACAAAAGCAAAAUCUAAGAAGAUAUGCCUCAAAAUUUACUCUAAAUGGUCCAAUUCGACCACUGCAACAGAUGGGCACAUUUUCAAUGUGCAAAUUUUGAUCUAAAGAAUCAGUUUGCUUUCAUUUGUACAAAGUGUUUGUGAAAGUUUUUUUUUUCUUUUUGGCUUCAAAUAAAUA